GAUGAACGCUAGCGGGAGGCCUAACACAUGCAAGCCGAGCGGGAUUUGUUGGUUAGCUUGCUAACUAACAAUGAGAGCGGCGUACGGGUGCGUAGCACGUGUGCAACCUGCCUUUAUCUGGGGGAUAGCCUUUCGAAAGGAAGAUUAAUACCCCAUAACAUAUUGAUUGGCAUCAGUUAAUAUUGAAAGCCCCGGCGGAUAGAGAUGGGCACGCGUAAGAUUAGCUAGUUGGUGAGGUAACGGCUCACCAAGGCUGCGAUCUUUAGGGGGCCUGAGAGGGUGAUCCCCCACACUGGUACUGAGACACGGACCAGACUCCUACGGGAGGCAGCAGUGAGGAAUAUUGGACAAUGGGUGAGAGCCUGAUCCAGCCAUCCCGCGUGAAGGACUAAGGACCUAUGGUUUGUAAACUUCUUUUAUACAGGGAUAAACCUACUCUCGUGAGGGUAGCUGAAGGUACUGUAUGAAUAAGCACCGGCUAACUCCGUG
Molecule: ribosomal RNA, 489 nt
Filed under: uncultured bacterium
Lineage: Bacteria
Description: partial 16S ribosomal RNA
Rfam family: Bacterial small subunit ribosomal RNA
Source: RNAcentral